RNAcentral lists this long non-coding RNA (2862 nucleotides) under Homo sapiens (human). RNAcentral describes it as "metastasis associated lung adenocarcinoma transcript 1". The stretch from base 2152 to 2246 matches the Rfam family "Metastasis associated lung adenocarcinoma transcript 1". The record is from RNAcentral. Lineage: Eukaryota; Metazoa; Chordata; Mammalia; Primates; Hominidae.
AGGCAUUGAGGCAGCCAGCGCAGGGGCUUCUGCUGAGGGGGCAGGCGGAGCUUGAGGAAACCGCAGAUAAGUUUUUUUCUCUUUGAAAGAUAGAGAUUAAUACAACUACUUAAAAAAUAUAGUCAAUAGGUUACUAAGAUAUUGCUUAGCGUUAAGUUUUUAACGUAAUUUUAAUAGCUUAAGAUUUUAAGAGAAAAUAUGAAGACUUAGAAGAGUAGCAUGAGGAAGGAAAAGAUAAAAGGUUUCUAAAACAUGACGGAGGUUGAGAUGAAGCUUCUUCAUGGAGUAAAAAAUGUAUUUAAAAGAAAAUUGAGAGAAAGGACUACAGAGCCCCGAAUUAAUACCAAUAGAAGGGCAAUGCUUUUAGAUUAAAAUGAAGGUGACUUAAACAGCUUAAAGUUUAGUUUAAAAGUUGUAGGUGAUUAAAAUAAUUUGAAGGCGAUCUUUUAAAAAGAGAUUAAACCGAAGGUGAUUAAAAGACCUUGAAAUCCAUGACGCAGGGAGAAUUGCGUCAUUUAAAGCCUAGUUAACGCAUUUACUAAACGCAGACGAAAAUGGAAAGAUUAAUUGGGAGUGGUAGGAUGAAACAAUUUGGAGAAGAUAGAAGUUUGAAGUGGAAAACUGGAAGACAGAAGUACGGGAAGGCGAAGAAAAGAAUAGAGAAGAUAGGGAAAUUAGAAGAUAAAAACAUACUUUUAGAAGAAAAAAGAUAAAUUUAAACCUGAAAAGUAGGAAGCAGAAGAAAAAAGACAAGCUAGGAAACAAAAAGCUAAGGGCAAAAUGUACAAACUUAGAAGAAAAUUGGAAGAUAGAAACAAGAUAGAAAAUGAAAAUAUUGUCAAGAGUUUCAGAUAGAAAAUGAAAAACAAGCUAAGACAAGUAUUGGAGAAGUAUAGAAGAUAGAAAAAUAUAAAGCCAAAAAUUGGAUAAAAUAGCACUGAAAAAAUGAGGAAAUUAUUGGUAACCAAUUUAUUUUAAAAGCCCAUCAAUUUAAUUUCUGGUGGUGCAGAAGUUAGAAGGUAAAGCUUGAGAAGAUGAGGGUGUUUACGUAGACCAGAACCAAUUUAGAAGAAUACUUGAAGCUAGAAGGGGAAGUUGGUUAAAAAUCACAUCAAAAAGCUACUAAAAGGACUGGUGUAAUUUAAAAAAAACUAAGGCAGAAGGCUUUUGGAAGAGUUAGAAGAAUUUGGAAGGCCUUAAAUAUAGUAGCUUAGUUUGAAAAAUGUGAAGGACUUUCGUAACGGAAGUAAUUCAAGAUCAAGAGUAAUUACCAACUUAAUGUUUUUGCAUUGGACUUUGAGUUAAGAUUAUUUUUUAAAUCCUGAGGACUAGCAUUAAUUGACAGCUGACCCAGGUGCUACACAGAAGUGGAUUCAGUGAAUCUAGGAAGACAGCAGCAGACAGGAUUCCAGGAACCAGUGUUUGAUGAAGCUAGGACUGAGGAGCAAGCGAGCAAGCAGCAGUUCGUGGUGAAGAUAGGAAAAGAGUCCAGGAGCCAGUGCGAUUUGGUGAAGGAAGCUAGGAAGAAGGAAGGAGCGCUAACGAUUUGGUGGUGAAGCUAGGAAAAAGGAUUCCAGGAAGGAGCGAGUGCAAUUUGGUGAUGAAGGUAGCAGGCGGCUUGGCUUGGCAACCACACGGAGGAGGCGAGCAGGCGUUGUGCGUAGAGGAUCCUAGACCAGCAUGCCAGUGUGCCAAGGCCACAGGGAAAGCGAGUGGUUGGUAAAAAUCCGUGAGGUCGGCAAUAUGUUGUUUUUCUGGAACUUACUUAUGGUGAUUUAAUAAUAAUUUAAAACUACUAUAGAAACUGCAGAGCAAAGGAAGUGGCUUAAUGAUCCUGAAGGGAUUUCUUCUGAUGGUAGCUUUUGUAUUAUCAAACUUUUUUCAGAUAACAUCUUCUGAGUCAUAACCAGCCUGGCAGUAUGAUGGCCUAGAUGCAGAGAAAACAGCUCCUUGGUGAAUUGAUAAGUAAAGGCAGAAAAGAUUAUAUGUCAUACCUCCAUUGGGGAAUAAGCAUAACCCUGAGAUUCUUACUACUGAUGAGAACAUUAUCUGCAUAUGCCAAAAAAUUUUAAGCAAAUGAAAGCUACCAAUUUAAAGUUACGGAAUCUACCAUUUUAAAGUUAAUUGCUUGUCAAGCUAUAACCACAAAAAUAAUGAAUUGAUGAGAAAUACAAUGAAGAGGCAAUGUCCAUCUCAAAAUACUGCUUUUACAAAAGCAGAAUAAAAGCGAAAAGAAAUGAAAAUGUUACACUACAUUAAUCCUGGAAUAAAAGAAGCCGAAAUAAAUGAGAGAUGAGUUGGGAUCAAGUGGAUUGAGGAGGCUGUGCUGUGUGCCAAUGUUUCGUUUGCCUCAGACAGGUAUCUCUUCGUUAUCAGAAGAGUUGCUUCAUUUCAUCUGGGAGCAGAAAACAGCAGGCAGCUGUUAACAGAUAAGUUUAACUUGCAUCUGCAGUAUUGCAUGUUAGGGAUAAGUGCUUAUUUUUAAGAGCUGUGGAGUUCUUAAAUAUCAACCAUGGCACUUUCUCCUGACCCCUUCCCUAGGGGAUUUCAGGAUUGAGAAAUUUUUCCAUCGAGCCUUUUUAAAAUUGUAGGACUUGUUCCUGUGGGCUUCAGUGAUGGGAUAGUACACUUCACUCAGAGGCAUUUGCAUCUUUAAAUAAUUUCUUAAAAGCCUCUAAAGUGAUCAGUGCCUUGAUGCCAACUAAGGAAAUUUGUUUAGCAUUGAAUCUCUGAAGGCUCUAUGAAAGGAAUAGCAUGAUGUGCUGUUAGAAUCAGAUGUUACUGCUAAAAUUUACAUGUUGUGAUGUAAAUUGUGUAGAAAACCAUUAAAUCAUUCAAAAUAAUAAACUAUUUUUAUUAGAG